CCUACGGGAGGCAGCAGUAAGGAAUAUUGGUCAAUGGGCGCAAGCCUGAACCAGCCAUGCCGCGUGCAGGAAGACGGCCCUAUGGGUUGUAAACUGCUUUUGAACAAGAGAAAACCUCGGUACGUGUACCGAGCUGAUAGUAUUGUUAGAAUAAGCAUCGGCUAACUUCGUGCCAGCAGCCGCGGUAAGACGAAGGAUGCAAGCGUUAUCCGGAUUCAUUGGGUUUAAACGGGUGCGUAGGCGGCCUGAUAAGUCAGUGGUGAAAUCUCUCAGCUUAAACUGAGAAACCUGCCAUUGAUACUGUCGGGCUUGAGUACAGAUGAUGUGGGCGGAAUAUGACAUGUAGUGGUGAAACUACUUAGAUAUGUCAUAGAACACCGAUUGCGAAGGCAGCUCACAAACUGUAACUGACGCUGAGGCACGAAAGUGCGGGGUAUCAAACAGGUAUUAGACUACCCGUGGUAGUCCGCACCGUAAACGAUGACUUACUCGUUGUG
This 497-nucleotide ribosomal RNA is filed under the name uncultured bacterium. RNAcentral describes it as "bacterial SSU rRNA". It matches the Rfam family "Bacterial small subunit ribosomal RNA", at positions 338 to 824 of the family's 1533-position model. The record is from RNAcentral.